Molecule: ribosomal RNA, 492 nt
Filed under: uncultured bacterium
Lineage: Bacteria
Description: partial 16S ribosomal RNA
Rfam family: Bacterial small subunit ribosomal RNA
Source: RNAcentral
AGUGAACGCUGGCGGUAGGCCUAACACAUGCAAGUCGAACGGCAGCACAGUAAGAGCUUGCUCUUACGGGUGGCGAGUGGCGGACGGGUGAGGCAUACAUCGGAAUCUACUUUUUCGUGGGGGAUAACGUAGGGACACUUACGCUAAUACCGCAUACGACCUACGGGUGAAAGCAGGGGAUCUUCGGACCUUGCGCGAUUGAAUGAGCCGAUGUCGGAUUAGCUAGUUGGCGGGGUAAAGGCCCACCAAGGCGACGAUCCGUAGCUGGUCUGAGAGGAUGAUCAGCCACACUGGAACUGAGACACGGUCCAGACUCCUACGGGAGGCAGCAGUGGGGAAUAUUGGACAAUGGGCGCAAGCCUGAUCCAGCCAUACCGCGUGGGUGAAGAAGGCCUUCGGGUCGUAAAGCCCUGUUGUUGGGAAAGAAAAGCAGCAGGUGAAUACCCCGCUGUUCUGACGGUACCCAAAGAAUAAGCACCGGCUAACUUCGUG